AGAACAGGGACCUCUUCCUCAGGCUGUGCUGAGUUUGAGGUUCCGGGUUCGAAUGCGCUUGGAUUUGAACCCCAGCGAGGAGAAGUGGUACGAGAAUGAGCCGGACUGGGGGGCCAGGCCUCAGGGCCUCCCCCCACAGAGCCCCCCAGCCCAGCAACAGCAGCCAGGCCCCUCUGCCAGCACCAGCCAGGAGGACACCAGCCCCACGCCCACCCAGGGCAGAUUCCAGCCUCGGCUCGACCAAGUGGACACUUCCCUCCAGGUCCAGAAAAGGGGGGGAGGGGGCGUGUGGGUGGUGACCCUCCCUGGGAGACACAACCCAGGACAGGGAGGGAGGCGGGAGGAGCAGCCACCUUCCCAGGGAACCCAGAGCAAAGUGGCUGGGGGGGGGGGUUGCAAAGGGGGUGGCAGUGAACA
This 417-nucleotide long non-coding RNA is filed under the name Notechis scutatus (mainland tiger snake). RNAcentral describes it as "lncRNA (ENSNSUG00000001237.1)". The record is from RNAcentral. Lineage: Eukaryota; Metazoa; Chordata; Lepidosauria; Squamata; Elapidae.